GGAAUAUAAGAAUCCGUCUCUUAACUUUUAACUAAAAAAGCUAAGAACCGGUUCUUAAAUACUCUUAAAUAAUAUCUAAGAACCGGUUCUUACCUUUUUUUUAGUUAAAAGUUAAGAGACGGAUUCUUAUAUUCC
This is a non-coding RNA of Brassica napus (rape), 135 nucleotides long. The record is from Rfam. Lineage: Eukaryota; Viridiplantae; Streptophyta; Magnoliopsida; Brassicales; Brassicaceae.